AGAAUCAACGCUGGCGGCGUGCCUAACACAUGCAAGUCGAACGAGAAAGUGGAGCAAUCCAUGAGUAAAGUGGCGACCGGGUGAGUAACACGUGACUAACCUACCUUCGAGUGGGGGAUAACCUCGGGAAACCGAGGCUAAUACCGCAUAACAUCGCAAGAUCAAAGCAGCAAUGCGCUGGAAGAGGGGGUCGCGGCUGAUUAGCUAGUUGGCGGGUAAUGGCCCACAGGCGAGAUCGGUA
RNAcentral lists this ribosomal RNA (241 nucleotides) under uncultured bacterium. RNAcentral's name for it is "partial small subunit ribosomal RNA". It matches the Rfam family "Bacterial small subunit ribosomal RNA", at positions 26 to 285 of the family's 1533-position model. The record is from RNAcentral.